This 253-nucleotide ribosomal RNA is filed under the name uncultured bacterium. RNAcentral's name for it is "partial 16S ribosomal RNA". It matches the Rfam family "Bacterial small subunit ribosomal RNA", at positions 524 to 776 of the family's 1533-position model. The record is from RNAcentral.
UACGAAGGGUGCAAGCGUUAUUCGGAAUCAUUGGGCGUAAAGCGCGCGCAGGCGGAUCAGCAAGUCAGGUGUGAAAUCUCGGGGCUCAACCCCGAAACUGCGCCUGAAACUGCUAGUCUAGAAUGUCGGAGGGGGCAGGGGAAUUUCACGUGUAGGGGUAAAAUCCGUAGAGAUGUGAAGGAACACCGGAGGCGAAGGCGCCUGCCUGGACGACUAUUGACGCUGAGGCGCGAAAGCGUGGGGAGCAAACAGG